Molecule: long non-coding RNA, 1129 nt
Organism: Hypomesus transpacificus
Lineage: Eukaryota; Metazoa; Chordata; Actinopteri; Osmeriformes; Osmeridae
Exons: 3
Source: RefSeq, a predicted model, not a curated record
GGGAAAAGUUAGGACGAUUCUAAGGGCCCCUGGCUGACGGGCCCCGAAUUUUUUUUAUUUUCAUAGGGCCCAAAAUUAUUGGCGGCGCCCCUGACCAUAUCUGACAGCCGUCAGAAUAUGUGACACCACCGUAAUUGCUUCAUGAAGGAGUUAAACUUCAAAAUAUUGUUUGGCGUAGUUACGUCAUCCCUUCACACUAAUCUGGACACGUUUUCUUAUUUGGGCCAUCACAUAGCCAGUACCACAGAGGUCACCACAAAGCGCGUAAACUGGUUGAAAUACAUGUGUCUCACGGCCAAUGCGUGAGAGUUGGCAGCCCUGCCGCAUGUAAGUGCAUCCAAUGUAGGGGCAAACGGAUUCAGAGCGCAGUAACAGCGCUUUACUGCGGUUUGCUUCGGUUUGAAUUGCAUCCAAUGUAUGGAGAAACGGAUACAGCGCGCCGUAACUAGACUUGCGGGUUGCAUCGGUUUUGAGUGUGAUUGAGUUUCUGCAAUUCAUUAUACCCUUUUUCAUCUGUCAAUUAAUAGGUGAAACAUUGCGCCAGUGUCGAAGCAAUUAGCCUCCAGGUCCCGUUCAUUUUUUCGCCGCUAUAGUUGUUUUUCUGGACAGUAGCCUACAGGCUGCCCUAUGGAUGCACAAAUAUUCAAAGAGUUGCUGGAUUAUCUUGUUGAAGGACAAUAUCCAGAACAUUCUGACAAACACCAGCGCUUCACCAUUCGAAGAAGGGCUGCAAACUACUGCGUCGAAGAUGAUCAAUUACAUUACAUGAGACACAAGGGUUCUGUCAAAGAAGUCAAAGCCAAAGUUCUGUGUGGUGCAGCCGACGCACGCUCCAUAUUUAGAGAAUUUCACACCAGUGAAAUAGGUGAACACUGCGGCCAAAUUAAAACAAGGGAUGCCAUUUCUCUUAGGUGUUAUUGGCCUUCCAUGACAUCUGACAUCGAAAAAUGGGUAUCAGAAUGCACUGUUUGCCAGCAGAACAGAGCUGAAAUAAAGGUUGCCACUGAUUACAAGGCUAUUAAGGUAAAUGUUUUUUUGAUCACUUGAGCUUUAUUGUAUCAUUAAAGUAACAUUUACUACAUUUCCAAUGUUAAUCUAUGACAUAAUCACAACUAAGAAACAACAAACC